RNAcentral lists this ribosomal RNA (784 nucleotides) under uncultured bacterium. RNAcentral's name for it is "bacterial SSU rRNA". It matches the Rfam family "Bacterial small subunit ribosomal RNA", at positions 719 to 1501 of the family's 1533-position model. The record is from RNAcentral.
AGGCAGCCAUCUGGCCUAAUACUGACGCUGAGGUACGAAAGCAUGGGGAGCAAACAGGAUUAGAUACCCUGGUAGUCCAUGCCGUAAACGAUGUCUACUAGCCGUUGGGGCCUUUGAGGCUUUAGUGGCGCAGCUAACGCGAUAAGUAGACCGCCUGGGGAGUACGGUCGCAAGACUAAAACUCAAAUGAAUUGACGGGGGCCCGCACAAGCGGUGGAGCAUGUGGUUUAAUUCGAUGCAACGCGAAGAACCUUACCUGGCCUUGACAUACUAAGAACUUUCCAGAGAUGGAUUGGUGCCUUCGGGAACUUAGAUACAGGUGCUGCAUGGCUGUCGUCAGCUCGUGUCGUGAGAUGUUGGGUUAAGUCCCGCAACGAGCGCAACCCUUUUCCUUAUUUGCCAGCGGGUAAUGCCGGGAACUUUAAGGAUACUGCCAGUGACAAACUGGAGGAAGGCGGGGACGACGUCAAGUCAUCAUGGCCCUUACGGCCAGGGCUACACACGUGCUACAAUGGUCGGUACAAAGGGUUGCUACCUCGCGAGAGGAUGCUAAUCUCAAAAAGCCGAUCGUAGUCCGGAUCGCAGUCUGCAACUCGACUGCGUGAAGUCGGAAUCGCUAGUAAUCGCGGAUCAGAAUGCCGCGGUGAAUACGUUCCCGGGCCUUGUACACACCGCCCGUCACACCAUGGGAGUUUGUUGCACCAGAAGUAGGUAGUCUAACCGCAAGGAGGACGCUUACCACGGUGUGGCCGAUGACUGGGGGUGAAGUCGUAACAAGGUAACC